Phyllostomus hastatus (greater spear-nosed bat) is the source of this 1061-nucleotide long non-coding RNA. RefSeq lists it as uncharacterized. The transcript has 5 exons. The record is from RefSeq and is a predicted model, not a curated record. NCBI's taxonomy places the organism in Eukaryota, Metazoa, Chordata, Mammalia, Chiroptera, Phyllostomidae.
GCAGGCACUGAAGCCGUUAAUGGUAAAUUCAUACUUACAAUGUUAGAAAAAUAAGAUUCUGAUGAGGAAACAAAAGAUUGUUUUAGAUUGAAGAAGUAAAUAAUAGUAAGAAUAAGGACUUUUGCAAAAGCCAAGAAGUCUUCAGAUGAUCAGAGAAGUGUCUGAUACUGGAGAGAAAACUGAAUUAUGUCACCAAAAUUUGCCUUUUGCCUUGUGCAGUUACAGCCAUUUUUCUUGGUUAUUGCUUUAGGGAAACCAGGAAUCUCUGUGUUUUCUACAAAAAAGGUGUGGAAAAGCAGCAUGAGCAAAAGGAAGGACAUGGAAGCUACCAUCCAAAAAAAGGUGGAGACCUGGACCCUGUUAUCACACCUACUUCUUUGGCUAAUUACAGAAGAAGAAAUCAGAACAUGAGAACCAGCCAAAAAAGAUUCACAGUUGCCACUCUUUAGUUGCUACUUUAAUGGGAAACACAUGUGCAAGAUACCACCCAGGAGACAGCUGACCAGUGUGCUCUGCAAGAAGGAACAUCACCAGAAAAUGAUGAGAUGUGCAACCACAGGAGAUGGCGUAUUCUCUUGGACAGGCUGAACCCAGAAUGAAGGGUGAUGGAAUUUUUGUUCUUAUACAAAUAUGUGCUGGGACAAAGAUGAAAUGCUUGGACAGAAAUUAAUCUAUAGCAACAAAGUUAAAAGACAGUGACGAGAAUUGGUCCUUACUACUUAUCAUCUCAGCCACAUGCUCUGCAACCAGUUUACCAUCAGAUUUGGGAAGUUCUUAGCAAAGUUACCAUGAGUAAAAAUCCUGCAAAGGAAUUGGUAAAAAAGGGCACAGUAAUGAAUGUAAUUAUUAAGUAAUAAUGCUAAUACUCAUUAGUUACUUCCAACUAGAAGUAACCAGCACUGUUCCAAGAGCUAUACACGCAACAUCUCAUUAUAUCCCUAAUUUACAGGGUAGGGAUUACCUCUACUGUACUAGCUCAAACUGCCAUAGCAAAAUACAUAUACUAGUGACUUAAACAAUGGGAAUUGAAUUCUCAGAGUUCUGGAGAAGAACAAGAUCAA